Molecule: long non-coding RNA, 547 nt
Organism: Aedes aegypti (yellow fever mosquito)
Lineage: Eukaryota; Metazoa; Arthropoda; Insecta; Diptera; Culicidae
Exons: 2
Source: RefSeq, a predicted model, not a curated record
AUAAGUCUGCUGCAGAGCAGACUUAAUUUUGACAGAUCGAUUGUUAAUUUCUUUCUUGCUCGAUCGGUCGAUCGGUGUUUGUUGUUUACUUCCUACAUAAUUGUUCCCUCUAACCGGUAAUUCACCUAUUUGUCUUUGGUCGUACAUUCCUGCUGCCUUCGAAAGAUCCAAGACCAGAAAAACGACGGAACAGGUUGAAUGAAACCUUCUUUCGAACAGAUUUUACCAUUGGCAUCUUCUACGGACAUAUUUCACCAUUUGGCAAGCAUGUCGACGGGCAAAACAUUUGGCAAGCAGCUGCUACAGGAGAACUGAUGAAUUCCACUAUUAUCUGCAACAGAAAACACCACCGUGAAUUAUGCAGGGGACCAGCGGAAAUUUGAAGUAUGUCGAGCUUCUAUCGAAAACAGAAGUCAAUAUAAGUGCACGUUGAACAAAGACCGUACGGAACACUUUCUGGCUUGCAUCAAGCAGAUCCUGAUUGAGAUCCCUAGUGGUUAUUUGCGAAAUAUUUCAACAACCCUCAAUGUGCCCAAAACCAAGUUUA